AAGUCGUAACAAGGUUUCCGUAGGUGAACCUGCGGAAGGAUCAUUAAAGUUUGCUUAAUUGCAUUACACAUGUUUUUUUAGAGAACUUGCUUGCAAGAACACUAAUAAUUUACUUAGUCAACAAAUAAAAAUAUCAAAACUUUCAACAACGGAUCUCUUGGUUCUC
RNAcentral lists this unclassified non-coding RNA (166 nucleotides) under Fermentozyma sake. Its description in RNAcentral is "Candida sake partial internal transcribed spacer region". The stretch from base 1 to 46 matches the Rfam family "Eukaryotic small subunit ribosomal RNA", at positions 1786 to 1831 of the family's 1831-position model. Lineage: Eukaryota; Fungi; Ascomycota; Pichiomycetes; Serinales; Debaryomycetaceae. RNAcentral also lists the same sequence under 5 other names. The record is from RNAcentral.